CUUGGAUAAUCAUAUUUCACUAAACUGGUACGCAAGGAGUCUUCAGCCCAUCUGACAGCUUUAUUCUUGUGUAAAAAAGGAAGAUUUUGUGUGAAGCAGGGUUAAGCCGUGAAGACAGGAAUUUCAAAAGCUUGGGCAUUAGCAGAACAUGACAGACCUGACCUGAGAUGCAGGGCCUCUUUGUGUGCUUCCUUCAGUGCUCCUUGCUUUCUGCAUAUCACUCAUUUGUGACGGCAGGUAAGGGCUGUUCAGCUCUUAGAGUGGCAAUGGUGUCUGUUUUGGAUGUGUCUGCGCUGUGCAGCGCUUGCACUGGAAUGUGCACGCAGAGAGUGCAGACAUUGCACCUGGCACAAACCAGUGGUGUUUAAGCAGCUGCAGCUUCAGUAAGGGUUUUUUUUUUGUGAACUUUGUGUCCAGCACUUGCUGCUUGUGCUUCUGGUUCAUGCACAGCAAUAGUUAGCGUUUGGAUUUAAAGCGCUCUGUGAAGAUAUUUGUGUUUGCAAGAGAAUUCAUUUUUUAAGAAAAUAUUAUAAAUAGUGUUACAUUUUGAGCUGAUGUAUUUACGACAGUGUCUGAACUUUUGCCCUAAAAUAUACAGGCACGGGAAAGUGAUUCUAUUGCUAGAAAUCUAAUGUUAUUGCCUGGUCUGCAUUAGACAAAAGGCAUUGCAUGAGGCUCCUGGAUAGCUCUUUUUAAAUGUGUAUUACCUGAAAUUCUAAUUUCAUCUUGCCGUUCACGUUGUCCCGUGCAGGUCUGGCAACUCUCCCCCAUUAGAUGCUGGAAGGGCUGUCCAUCAGAUGGCUGAGAGCUGAAGCAAUGUUUCUACAUCAUUGCAACCAAUCAGGCAAGCAAAGCAGAUUUCAGAACUGGAGGAACAUUAAUGUACUAAAAUAGGACCGAGUCCUGAAACCCUAGCCUGGCCGGGGGAAAAAAUCUCCAUUGUCUUCAGUGGGAGCUGCCUGGCGUGACGUUACCGCAGUGCCGCUCCGUCAGCACGCAGUGGCAUGCAGCAGGGACGGACCCAGGCGCUGUGCAGCGCAGUGAGCACGCAGCCCCGCCGAGAGUCCACCACGCACAUCUCUGCUUUGCUUCAUCGCUUUGGUCCAAGCUCCUGAGCCAAUGUCUCUGUCCCCAUUCAGCUCCAGGCUUUCCGAAAGUGAGUUUGUGCCACCUUGCCCAGUGUGAUGUACUGACUGGUGCUCUGCUGCACUCAUUACGUGUCCUGGUGGUUUGCAGGACAGCACUGUGCAACUUAACAGGAUUUUUCCUCCUUUUGUUCUUUUCUCUUUUCUUCUUCUUCUUUUCUUUCUUUCUUUUUUUUUUAAGAAACAGCCACAGAAUAACAUUUAGACUUCUUUAUUGUGAUUCUGUUCAUUUUAAAGCCAAAUCAGCAUUUCCAAUCUGAUUGGUAAAAAACCACUCUGGAAAUAUUUUGAAAAAAAAAAAAUAGCGUUACUAUUGGGAUUCCUUACAGAAAAGGAUUUGCAGUGCCCAGGGAGUGGGCCAACCAUCUUCCUUCUCUGUAAAGCAAAAAGCAAAGACUUUUAAAGCUCAGUGUUAAUGGUGUUACAGUUCGGUACAGCCAGCAUCCGCUGACAGGUGUCAGGUCGUCAGAAAGGUGAAGUUACUUAAUUUAUCCGUUGUUGAAGUUGUUCAGUCUCCCCGUCGUAGGAUUCCUGGAAUUAAUUUGCGUCUGGCUUUU
This is a long non-coding RNA of Numida meleagris (helmeted guineafowl), 1702 nucleotides long. The record is from Ensembl. Lineage: Eukaryota; Metazoa; Chordata; Aves; Galliformes; Numididae.